UGUGGAGCUGACAUGUGAUCCAAGGAAGACAGGAUGCAUUCUGCCAACGUCCUCCAUAAGACAAGUCUUAUAAAAUAUAAAGAUUAGCAGUUAUGGUUGAUAAUUAAGACUGGGUUAGCAUAUAAGAAAUCCUAGUCAUUGGCCAGCAGCAUUAAUCUCUGUGUGUUAUUUUGGGCAACAGGGCUCGGGCAGCUGGCAGAAAGAUUUUAUUGUUAUAUUAGACCCUCAAAGCCAGUCCCUCAUUGGUAGAAAUGUAGGUCACUCCAUUAUCAGACUUCAGAAUAGAAAGUAAAUUCAAUGGUAAGCCAGAAAAGUCACCCAAAAACUAUUCAGAAUCCAUCAUUGAUACCAAUUACUUAUAUCUAUUUAUUAGUAUUUAACAGACAUUAAGUUUUAUAAUUCAUCUAGACCUGUUAAACUAAAUAUGCUUCAUUCAUAUGUGUUCAAUGUACUGAACAUCACAGGAAGUAAAAGCCAGAUAACAAAAACAGAUGCACCUACUCAGACAGAGACAUUGGUCAUCUGCAUAUUAUAAUAAUUUAGGCUCACAGGGACAAAGGUCACUUCAUGCUAAGAUAUAUUUCCUUAUUUUACUAUGAAAAAAUAGCUAUUUAAAAACCCAUGUAUAUAAGUUUGUUUAAUUAUUAUGUUGCUUAUGCUUGUGUUCAUGUAUCCAUGCAUAUAUGUGUAUACAUGCAUGUGAAGGCCUGAGGUAGACAUCAAGUAUCUUCUUCAAGUGUUCUCCACCUUAUGUUUCAAGACGCAGUCUUAGAAUGAGCCUCAAGCUCACAAUUUGGCAUGGAUGGCUGUGCAUCUGGCCUCAGCCUGAGAUUACAGGAACAUUCUAUAACACUCAGCUUCCUAAGUGCAUGCUAGGGAUCCAAGCUCAGGUCCUCAUGCUUAUACAUGGAGCAAUUUAACAGCAGAGCCUUCCCUACAGUUCAGAAGUUCUUACAAGCAUGAGGGAAGGUGCCUUCAUACCAAUGAGCCCCAUUAGGGUGUCCCCACAGUGGAAAGACUCUGGGGUUCUGUAAAUGAGAAUUCAGUUUAGUUUUUGGAUUUUGGACUUUUUUGUCUCCCCUUUCUCCCUCCCUCCCUCCCUCCCUUCCUUCUUUAAGACCAUGCUCAAACAUAGUUAAAAGCAAACAUGGCUAAGUGUCACAAGUUGAAAAGACUUUUACAAAUGCCUAAAACUGUAAUGUGCAAUUUGCCGAUGAAAAUCAUGUAGCAGAGAAAAUGCAUAACAAAAACAGAUAGAUGCCUCACCUUAAGGGAAAAGGACACAUUCAGUCCCCAAAGCAUUCACUCAGGUAUUUCUAGCAACUAAAGCCCCACAAACUUUUCAUAAAAUAUAUUAACAAGUUCAAUUUAAUUCUGCCUCCUUCUCUUAGUCCCACCCACACUGGACUAACUCUACUCAAGUUCUCUUCUUCUCUCCUAGAAUGUCCAGGACCUCGGAACUUCAGUUUCUAAGAGCUCUGUGUGAUGAUUCAGUGUUCAUUAGUGCAGUUCUCCUGCAUGCAAAGUCUUAUGAAAAAAUGCCUAUGGAGUCUCAAAGACGGUUUUGAUCAACAUGACCUUUUAAUCCAAAGACUGUUGACAUAACUUUCUGAUUGUUCCCUGUGUUCCUUCCCCAAUCAAUUCUUCAAAAUGCAGCCACUAGCUCUGUGCCUUCACUCCAACUAAUCUCUAUUCCAAGUGCAGUCUGUAGACCAGGAGCUUCUGGACCCUUGAGACUUGAUGGUGGUGCAUAUUCUGAGGACCAGUUCCAGCAGGCCUUUAUCAGAAAUGGCUUAUACAAGAUCUCCCAUGAUUUUGUGUGGAGAUUGAAAUCAACAGUCAUGCCCCUCAAUAACCUACCCUGUAGAUUUCUCAGGACAUUGGCCAUUUGCAAUGGCUAUAUUUAAAAUUUCUGUACUUAUUUAUUAAUUGUGAUUUUACAAAUGGUGAUAGGUAGUGUGGUGGUUUGAAUGAUAAUGGCCCCAUAGGCACAUAUGUUUGAAAUAUUAGUUUCUGUUGGGUGGAACUGUUUGGGAAAGUUAGGAGGUAUGGCCUUGUUGGAGGAGGUGUCACCAUGGUCAGGCACUGAGGUUUCCAAAGAUUGGUGUCAUUCCCAGUGUGCCUCUGGUUUUAGAUGUGAGUUCUCAGCUGUUCCUGCCAUCCUGCUUUUGCUCUACUAUCAUAGACUCUAACUCUCUAAAACUGGAACCCCAAUUAAACACUUUCUUUUGUUCAUUACUUUGAUCAUGGUGUUUUAUCACAGCAAUAGAAAAGUAAGUAACUAAGAAAAGGAACAAAAAAUACUACAAAGAUAAAUGAAUUAAUAAUUUCCCCACUGUUCUAUAUCUGUGUCCCGUUAAUUCCCAUGCAAAUUAUUUCCCUUCUACAGCUGCUCAGACCUCCACUUAGUGCCAAGUUCAGAUUUUAAACAUGCCCAUUGGAUACUUGCAGCUACAUAGAACCAUACCAAUUAAAAAAACAACUAUAGCUAAUUAUCUUCUGCCUUUACAAUACCUUUGCUAUCCUACUAUAAGUGAUAAAAUUGAUUGUACCCAUUAAAGAUAUUUCCAGGUGAGUUUACUAAUCACACUCAUCUGAUAAAUUCAAUUCUAAAAGCAUAUUAGAUUGGUCCCCAAAGCAUCCAACUCUUUGAAAUGAGAUACCACUACCCCCAAUCUGUACAGUGUCCUAUCUCAGCCUACUAUUUUUGCAGUAGCAUUUUGUUAUUGUACUUUAUUUUUUGUGGUGUGUAUGUAUGUACAUGUGUAUAUAUGUAUAUAUAUAUAUACAUAUAUAUAUAUAUAUAUAUAUAUAUAUAUCACAUACACACACAUAAGCACACACACAUACAACUUGUGUACGUGUGUGUGUGUGUGUGUGUGUGUGUGUGUGUGUGUGUGUGUGUGAGUUUGCAAGUAUACAAAGGCCAGAGAUGAACAGGUGUCUUCCUCUAUCUCUGUGCCUUACCCUUGAGACAGGGUCUCUCACAAAACCAGAAGCUCCUCAUUUUGACUAUACUGGCUGGCCAUCAAGCUCCCAGGAUUUACCUGUCUCUGCUUACUAAAGCUGGGGUUACAGGCAAGUGUAGCUUUGCCAAGGUAUUUGCUGGCUAUUAGGCAGUCAAACUCAGGUCCUCAUGCUUUCAAAGUAAGCAUACUUAUCCACUGAGCCAUCUCCCUAGCCCCAGAAAAUAUAUUUUAAUGUCCAUGUUUUUGACUGGGUGAGACCCUUAUAUUGGUAGCCUAAUAUGUAGAUUUAGCAAUAAACUAAAAAGUCAAAGACCUCUAAAUUCUAAUGAAUGUUACUGGGAACUCCAAUUUUCCAGAUUAUUUUGGAAGCAAUAAUUGGAGCUUAGGCCUUAAUUACAACAAAAUAUAUGAAUAAAUAUUUUUGCUACUUUACAGCCAUGCGAGCAUAUUCAUAUCCCUAGGUGGAUGUUUUGUUUACAUUAAUAUUAUUGCUACUUGUGUUUAAUUCCCAGAGACUGGGAAACCAGAUAUAUUUUACAGCUGGGAAGAUACUCAAUCGGAUUGAACAUUAGCCCACUCAGCACACUAGGUGCUUGCUCUUGAAUUUCAAAGGAGUUAAAAUUAUGCUUGAAAUGAAAGCUGAAUGCUACAUUAUCUCUUUUAUUCUGGUUUCAAAACAUAUAGGAAACAGGCUAGUGAAAGAGAAUGGUGAGCCAGACUGAUUUGGGGUUCAAGGAUAAGAAAAGCAUUGUCCCUGCCCACAGCACAAGCCAGAUGACUCAGUCAUUGAUAAGUGGAACAUUAAUCAGAUGAGAUGCCACAAAAAUGUUGCCUGGUUCCUGGCUUGCUGAUGGAGAGACUGACUGGACUCCCACCAUGCCUCCACACAGGGAAUCUGUCUCCUUGACUCCUAGAAGUCACCAGCUCCCUGGUCUUCUGCCUUUCUUGAUGCGGCUUCUCACACAAUAUCUCACUGAAGAAAUUCAUUAGCCUAACAGAACUAUAAUGGCAACUCUGUGAAGUGUUAGCAGUUGACACUGGAUCAUGGCAAGAAUGGUGGGAAGAAGAUGAGUGCCAGUUACAGUCAUCUGUGGGGCUCAGCCCCCAGUCCAUCCUCUUCCCUCAUCCACAGGAAAGGAGAUUCAUCCAAGUGCUGAAGAGGCUGCUACCAGAAAUCAUGUCUGAAUAUGGAAGAUCUGAGCAGUGCUGGGGAAGAAGACGGUCCUGGUACCUCCAUUUAAGAUCUUAAUGCACACAUAUCCUCCCAGUAAAACAUCCGGCUUCUGAGCUUUUUCUUUUUUGCCAUCACUCUAUGAUCCGGAGAACAAACAGGAUAUACUGAAGAUAUCUGUUGGAGUAAUUGUUGAGCUGCUACAUAGAUGUGAAAGCCAAAUGUCAACUGAGCAAGUUUGUGUUUGUCUUCACUCUUCAAGAACAGUCUAAGCUGAGAAGAGCCACCGGUCCAAGCUCAUGAUCAUCAGCGCUGACAACACCAAUAUGCUCUAUACCAUAAUAUAGCUGUCCAAUCCCUUCACCCAACUCAGAAUACCUCCAAAGGGUAAUGUCAGCAAGGCCAGCUAAUCUCUUGUCAUUAUGGCAUCACAGUCCAAC
This 4580-nucleotide long non-coding RNA is filed under the name Cricetulus griseus (Chinese hamster). RNAcentral's name for it is "lncRNA (ENSCGRG00015035016.1)". Lineage: Eukaryota; Metazoa; Chordata; Mammalia; Rodentia; Cricetidae. The record is from RNAcentral.